CGCUGUGCUGGGGAAUCCAAUGUACUCCUGGGUCACGGGCUGUCCAGAAAGCAUGGCUUGGGAGGCCUCAGGAAAUUUACAAUCACGGUGAAAGGCAAAGAGGAAGGAGGCACGUCUUACAUGGCUGGAGCAGGAGGAAGAGGGUGAAGGCACAAGUUCUACCCAUUUUUAAACAACCAGAUCUAAUGGGAACUUAUUAUCACAAGGACAGCAAGAGAGAAUUUACCACCAUGAUGUAAUUACCUGCCAACAGAUCCCUCCUUCAACAUACGGGAUUACAAUACGACAUGAGAUUUGGGCAGGGACACCAAUCCAAACCAUAUCACAAGCAUAAGAG
Molecule: long non-coding RNA, 337 nt
Filed under: Homo sapiens (human)
Lineage: Eukaryota; Metazoa; Chordata; Mammalia; Primates; Hominidae
Description: HSALNT0325672
Source: RNAcentral